UUAGUGAGGCUUUCGGACUGGCCCAGGGACGGCGGCAACGCCGACCCAGGGCCGGAAAGUUGUUCAAACUUGGUCAUUUAGAGGAAGUAAAAGUCGUAACAAGGUUUCCGUAGGUGAACCUGCGGAAGGAUCAUUACAGAGUUCAUGCCCUCACGGGUAGAUCUCCCACCCUUGAAUAUUAUACCUUCGUUGCUUUGGCAGGCCGUGGAAACACCAGAGGCUCCGGCUGAUGCGUGCCUGCCAGAGGAAACAAACUCUGUUUUUAGUGAUGUCUGAGUACUAUAUAAUAGUUAAAACUUUCAACAACGGAUCUCUUGGUUCUGGCAUCGAUGAAGAACGCAGCGAAAUGCGAUAAGUAAUGUGAAUUGCAGAAUUCAGUGAAUCAUCGAAUCUUUGAACGCACAUUGCGCCCCGUGGUAUUCCGCGGGGCAUGCCUGUUCGAGCGUCAUUUCAACCCAUCACGCUCCGGCGUGGUCUUGGGGCCUGCGGUUUCGCAGCCUCUAAACCCAGUGGCGGUGCUAUUGAGCUCUGAGCGUAGUAAUUUCUCUCGCUAUAGAGUCUCGGUGGUGACUUGCCAACAACCCCCAAUUUUUAUCAGGUUGACCUCGGAUCAGGUAGGGAUACCCGCUGAACUUAAGCAUAUCAAUAAGCGGAGGAAAAGAAACCAACAGGGAUUACCUCAGUAACGGCGAGUGAAGCGGUAACAGCUCAAAUUUGAAAUCUGCCGCAAGGNCGAGUUGUAAUUUGUAGAAGAUGCUUUGGGUAUGGNCCCGGUCUAAGUUCGUUGGAACACGACGUCAUAGAGGGUGAGAAUCCCGUAUGUGACUGGGUGCUUUUGCCUAUGUAAAGCUCUUUCNACGAGUCGAGUUG
Molecule: ribosomal RNA, 870 nt
Filed under: uncultured fungus
Lineage: Eukaryota; Fungi
Description: eukaryotic LSU rRNA
Rfam family: Eukaryotic large subunit ribosomal RNA (bases 601-870)
Source: RNAcentral